AGUGAACGCUGGCGGUAGGCCUAACACAUGCAAGUCGAACGGCAGCACAGUAAGAGCUUGCUCUUACGGGUGGCGAGUGGCGGACGGGUGAGGAAUACAUCGGAAUCUACUUUUUCGUGGGGGAUAACGUAGGGAAACUUACGCUAAUACCGCAUACGACCUACGGGCGAAAGCAGGGGAUCUUCGGACCUUGCGCGAUUGAAUGAGCCGAUGUCGGAUUAGCUAGUUGGCGGGGUAAAGGCCCACCAAGGCGACGAUCCGUAGCCGGUCUGAGAGGAUGAUCAGCCACACUGGAACUGAGACACGGUCCAGACUCCUACGGGAGGCAGCAGUGGGGAAUAUUGGACAAUGGGCGCAAGCCUGAUCCAGCCAUACCGCGUGGGUGAAGAAGGCCUUCGGGUUGUAAAGCCCUUUUGUUGGGAAAGAAAAGCAGCAGGUUAAUACCCCGCUGUUCUGACGGUACCCAAAGAAUAAGCACCGGCUAACUUCGUG
RNAcentral lists this ribosomal RNA (492 nucleotides) under uncultured bacterium. RNAcentral's name for it is "partial 16S ribosomal RNA". It matches the Rfam family "Bacterial small subunit ribosomal RNA", at positions 29 to 507 of the family's 1533-position model. The record is from RNAcentral.